UAUGUGAUCGUCUCUCGCAUAUCAAUAAGCGGAGGAAAAGAAACUAACAAGGAUUCCCCUAGUAACGGCGAGUGAAGCGGGAAGAGCUCAAAUUUGAAAUCUUAAAGGGUCUCCCUUUACGGAUUGUAGUUUAAAGAAGUGUUUUUCUGUUGAGGUUUUGGUAAAAGUUCUUCGGAAUAGGACAUCAUAGAGGGCGAGAAUCCCGUAUUUGACCUUUACUUUCAACUUUGUGAUACACUUUCAAAGAGUCGGAUUGUUUGGGAAUGCAGUCCAAAAUGGGUGGUAAAUUUCAUCUAAAGCUAAAUAUUGGCGAGAGACCGAUAGCGAACAAGUACCGUGAGGGAAAGAUGAAAAGAACUUUGAAAAGAGAGUUAAACAGUACGUGAAAUUGUCAAAAGGGAAGCGUUUGACACCAGUGUUGUUUUUCUGAAAAUCAAUUAAAGAACUGUUUAUGCUAAGCUGUUUAGACUUUAUCAGCUAUCUGUUUAGUUUUGAGCUUUUCUUUAAUGCACUUUUCAGUUAACAAGUCAACAUCAAUUUCUUUUGCUGUAAAAAAGCUUGAGGAAGGUGGCUUGAGAUUCGUCUUAAGUGUUUAUAGCCUCUUGCCUAUGCAGUCGGAGAGAUUGAGGUCUGCAGCGUAGAUCCUUCGGGGCUAAAUGCAUUUGUGCUAAGUUAUAGCAUUUUAUAGACAACUUGUUGACUAUGAUUUGUCUUGUAGCUUACUCGCUUAUGUUAUUUUACCUACGCUUAGGAUGUUGAUCUCUCACAGUCGAGC
This 775-nucleotide ribosomal RNA is filed under the name uncultured Neocallimastigales. Its description in RNAcentral is "partial large subunit ribosomal RNA". It matches the Rfam family "Eukaryotic large subunit ribosomal RNA", at positions 24 to 645 of the family's 3401-position model. Lineage: Eukaryota; Fungi; Neocallimastigomycota; Neocallimastigomycetes; Neocallimastigales. The record is from RNAcentral.